CUUUUGUUUAGGUAUGGCAGUUAAUGCGCCAAAUUCACGAGCUCACUGCCGUUAAAAAAGUGUGUGUGCUGGCUUUCGAUGAGAUGAAGCCUACCGACGACUUCGUCAGGAAGCCCGCAAAUUAUGUUCAAGUGGUUAUGGCGCCCCGAUUAUUUAAAUCCUGGAAGCAACCAGUAUUUUACGAUUUUGAUUGUAAAAUAACCGUCGAACAUACGAUUAUUUCGGCUGUGCAAAACGCUGGCUUCCCUGUUCUUGCGAUGGUCUGGGAUAUGGGCCCAUCGCCCCAAAAGCUUUGGAGAGACUUCGGUAUCACUCCAGUUAUACAUUUAAUUCACUAAUACAUAGCUAAUUAACAAUUAAUUAGAACACCCAUGGUUCACCAACCCUAUUGACCCGGAGGCGAAGGUUUUCGCAAUUGCGGAUGUUUCGGAUCUAUUGAAGCUCAUCCGAAAUAAUUUUAUUGAUACUGGAUUCGUUUGGAAAGACGGUACAUUAACCACGCGCGCAAUCGUUGAUGUUAUGGGGUUCACAUCUGUAUCCGACCUAUCCAUAACAUUCAAGUUAACAGAAGAGCACUUAGCUGUAAAAGGGAUAGGCAAACAAAAUAUAAAAUUGGCGACACAGUUGAUUUCUAACACGACUGCAAACAAGCGAUUAAGACAGCUGAACUAAUUCAGUUGGUGAAUGAUUGGUACGGCGUGCUCAUUUCCUCCGUUAAAAUGUUAAACUAUCCUGGAAAGGUCCCAUUUGGACGGAAGAUGCAGCAGCAGCUCCAGAUUUUGGUGCGGAUGAAUAAUUUCAUGUCAGAUGUUGUCAUCCCUCGUAAAAAUUGCAUCAACAGUUUCAAAGAAGAGUUUUGGUAACGAAUGACGCACUGUUACAGUUGUACGAGUAUGUGGUAGUAAAGUACAACUUCAACUGAGUUGUCACACGGCGUCUAAAUCAAGAUUUGCUGCAGCACUUCUUCGGGAACAUACGAAGCAAUGGAGGAUUAAACGAUCACCCUAAGCCGAAGGAGUUUAGGUACAGGCUCCGAAAAUAUAUUUUAGCAAGAAAUGCCAAAAAUCUGAAAAAAAACAGUCAACGUCGAGCAGGAUUCUGUUGAAUGGCUGAAUACAUCAAACCCGCAGGUGUUGUGUGGAAACAGGGUGUUCGGAAAUAGCUACAGAUGAACAUGAAGUAGAAGAACCAGAGUCAGGGGAAGCAGAAUCGGAAGUGGUUGACGCUAUGAGUGUCGCUCACGCCAAGGGCGAUGGCGAUGUGCUGGAAGGAGAUGCAGAUGUGCUGCAUGGCGAUGCGCUAGAAUAUAUGUACGUGUACGUGCCUUGGAACCAAACGAAAUGGUUUUCUGUCAACAUUGUUUCACCACCUACUGGCGAGGUAGCAACACCGGUCGGUUAGUGACAGCAAAGAUGAGAAAUUCAUCAGUACACCGACAUCAUCACCCCUCAAAGAAUCGCGCCUGAAAGUGUAAACCGGGCAAUAAUUUCAUUAAAUUAAAAUCCAAGGCAACGCUUGUUGGUACUUGGGAUUUCAAACAGAUGCGUUAUUUCGUAUCACAAUUGGAGUUCUUCACUGAGCAAGUUCAGUUCAGAACUCUACCAUUUCUGGUCACUACCAGGCCUGCGCAAGAACUACCGCCACAACUAAAAUAGAAGCAACCACAACCACCAGAACAACGCAUCAAGCGAAAUCUUCUACUCAGGACCACAAAAGACUCGUGCGCAUUUGUGCAAUGUGUUUUGAGAAACUCUGAGGCAACAGAGUAAUUUUUACGUGAAGAUAUCGAUAGCAGCGCACUGCUUCGCUACAGCAAUCAGAAUUUCCUGAAA
Long non-coding RNA from Rhagoletis pomonella (apple maggot), 1832 nucleotides. RefSeq lists it as uncharacterized. The transcript is spliced from 5 exons. The record is from RefSeq and is a predicted model, not a curated record. NCBI's taxonomy places the organism in Eukaryota, Metazoa, Arthropoda, Insecta, Diptera, Tephritidae.